CGCAUUCAUCACAGCGGUUGUGUACUUUGAAAGCUGUGCGGAUGCGGACACAUCCAAGAUGCAUCCGGACGCGGACAGUAAAGAAUACCCGGGCCUUGUGCGCGUGUUUAGGGAAUAACCCGGUAAACUUUAAACGGCUCUGAUACGUCCAGCUGACUUCGGCCCACGAGCUCCUCAAAGUCGCUGCUCUUGUUCAGCGCGCACCUGAGACGCGUUUUCCAGUGUUACUCAUAUAGUGACUUUCAUCACCUUGAAGAGCGCCGCGUCCUCGUCUCUGUUAUAGUCCUGCUUCCCUGCGUGUUUCCAUGGGAUGCGGAAGGUGGUUCGCUCUCGAUCCUCCCACACUAACCCGGGAUAU
This is a long non-coding RNA of Megalobrama amblycephala (Wuchang bream), 358 nucleotides long. RefSeq lists it as uncharacterized. The record is from RefSeq and is a predicted model, not a curated record. NCBI's taxonomy places the organism in Eukaryota, Metazoa, Chordata, Actinopteri, Cypriniformes, Xenocyprididae. The transcript is spliced from 3 exons.